Molecule: ribosomal RNA, 431 nt
Filed under: uncultured bacterium
Lineage: Bacteria
Description: partial 16S ribosomal RNA
Rfam family: Bacterial small subunit ribosomal RNA
Source: RNAcentral
ACGAACGCUGGCGGCAUGCCUCACACAUGCAAGUCGAACGAGACCUUCGGGUCUAGUGGCGCACGGGUGCGUAACGCGUGGGAACCUGCCCUUAGGUUCGGAAUAACUCCCCGAAAGGGGUGCUAAUACCGGAUAAUGUCUUCGGACCAAAGAUUUAUCGCCUUUGGAUGGGCCCGCGUUGGAUUAGCUAGUUGGUAGGGUAAAAGCCUACCAAGGCGACGAUCCAUAGCUGGUCUGAGAGGAUGAUCAGCCACGCUGGGACUGAGACACGGCCCAGACUCCUACGGGAGGCAGCAGUGGGGAAUAUUGGACAAUGGGCGAAAGCCUGAUCCAGCAAUGCCGCGUGAGUGAUGAAGGCCUUAGGGUUGUAAAGCUCUUUUACCCGGGAUGAUAAUGACAGUACCGGGAGAAUAAGCUCCGGCUAACUCCGU